RNAcentral lists this long non-coding RNA (2486 nucleotides) under Marmota monax (woodchuck). Lineage: Eukaryota; Metazoa; Chordata; Mammalia; Rodentia; Sciuridae. The record is from RNAcentral.
CUGGUAAUUAACACAUUAUUUUAGGUGCAGGUGGCACAGAUUUUCUCCCUUCUCUAUUGACAUUCUUGUUUGUUUCCUUUGCUGUGAAGAAGCUUUUUAAGUGAUACCAGCUCAUUUAUUGAUUUUUUAUUUUACUUCUUGCUCUUUAGGAGUCUAGUUGAGAAAGUCAGUUCCUAAGCCAACAUGAUGGGACUACAUUUCCUUCUAGUAGAUGCAAGGUUUCUGGUCUAAUACCUAAGUCCUUGAUCCACUUUUAGUUGAGUUUUGUGCAGGGUGAGAUAUAGGAGUUCAAUUUCAAUCUACUACAUAUGGAUUUCUAGUUUUUCCAACACCGCUUGUUGAAGAGGCUAUCUUUUCUCCAAUGUAUGUUUUUGGUGCCUUUGUCUAGUAUAAUAUAACUAUUUAUGUGCAUUUGUCUCUGUGUCUUCUAUCUAUUCCAUUGCUCUUCAUGCCUGUUUUGGUGCUAAUUCCAUGCUGGUUUUGUUACUAUAGUUCUGUGUAUAAUUAAGGUGUUGUAUUCUGAUUCCUCCUGCUUUACUUUUCUCACUAAGGAUUGCUUUACCUAAUCUGGGCCUCUUAUUUUUCCAAAUGAAUUUUAUGAAUGCUUUUUCUAUUUUUAUGAAGAAUAAUGAGAAUUUUAAGAGGAAUUGCAUUAAAUCUGUAUAGUUCUUUUGGUAGUAUGGCCAUUUUGAUAAUAUUAAUUCUGCCUAUCUGAGAACAUGGGAGAUCUUUCCAUCUUCUGAGGUCUUCUUCUAUUUCUUUCCUUAGUGUUCUGUAGUUUUCAUUGUUAGAUUGAUUCCCAAGUCGUUUUGUUUUGUUAUUUUUUAGACUAUUGUGAAUGGGAUAGUUUUCUUAAUUUCUCUUUCAGUUGACUCAUCAUUGGUGUAUAGGAACACAAUUGAUUUAUGAAUGUCAAUUUUUGUAUUCUGUUAUUUUGUGGAAUGUAUUUAUGAGUUCUAGAAGUUUUCUGGUGGAAUUUUUUUUUUUUUUGGUCUUCUAAAUUAGGCUCAUGUAAUUGGCAAACAGAGAUAGUUUGAGUUCUUCUUUUCCUGUUUGUAUCUCUUUAAUUUCUUUCUUUUGCCUAAAUGCUCUGGCUAGAGUUUCAAGGACUAUGUUGAACAGAAAUGGUGACAGAGAGCAUCCCUAUCUUGUUCCAGUUUUUAGAAGGAAUGCUUUCAGAUUUUUCUCCUUUUAGAAUGACAUUGGCCUUGUUUUUUUGUAUGUAGAUUUUGCAAUGUUGAGGUUUAUUCCUAUUAUCCCUAGUUUUUCUAGAGUUUUAAACAUGAAUGGAUGCUAUAUUUUGUCAAAUGCUUUUUUUGCAUCUAUUAAGAUAAUCAUGUGAGGGGCUGGGGUUGUGUCUCAGUGAUAGAGCACUCGCCUAACAUGUGUGAGGCACUGGGUUCGAUUCUCAGCACCACAUAAAAAUAAGAUAAAGGUAUUGUGUGUAUCUACAACUAAAAAAUAAAAAUAUUUUUUAAAAGAGAAUCAUGUGAUUCUUGUCUUAAAGUCUAUUUAUAGGGUGAAUUACAUUUAUUGAUUUCUGUGUGUUGACUAACCUUGCAUCCCUGGGAUGAAACUCCCAUAAUCAUGGUGCACUAUCUUUUUAAUAUUUUUUUGUAUGCGAUUUGCCAGGAUUUUAUUAAGAAUAAUUGUUUCUAUGUUCAUCAGGGAUAUUGGUCUGAAGUUUUCUUUUCUUGAUGUGUCUUUGUCUUGUUUAGAUAUCAGGGUGAUACUAGAUUCACAGAAUGAGUUUGAAAGGGUUCCCUCCUUUUAUAUUUCAUGGAAUAAUUUGAGGAAGGUUGAUAUAAGUUCUUCUUUAAAUGUCUGGAAGAACUCAGCUGAGAAUACAUCUAGUCCUGGGCUUUUCUUUGUUGGUAGGCUUUUGAUGGUGUCUUCAAUUUUAUUACUUGAAAUGGAUUUGUUUAAAUUUUCUAUAUUUUCUUGGUUUAAUUUGGGUAGAUCAUAUGUCUCUAGAAAUUUGUCAAUAUCUUCAUGAUUUUCUACCUUAUUCAAGUAUAAAUUUUCAAAAUCAUUUCUGAAUAUCCUCUAUAUUUCAGUAGUGUCUAUGGUGAUAUUUACUUUUUCAUCACAAAUUUUACUAAUUUAAGUUUUUCCUUCUUCCUCUUGAUUAGCUUGACUAAGUGUUUAUCAAUUUUAUUUAUUUUCUCAAAGAAUCAACUUUUGGGGGGGUACUGGGGAUUGAACUCGGGGAUACUCUACCACUAAGCCACAUCCCCAGCCCUAUUUUAUAUUUUAUUUAGAGAUAGAGUCUCAUUGAGUUGCUUAGCACCUCACUUUUACUGAUGCUGGCUUUGAACUCGGGAUUCUCCUGCCUCAGCCUCCCGAGCCGCUGGGAUUAUAGGCAUACACUACUGUGCCCAGCCCAACUUUUUUGUUUCAUUAACUUUUGUAAAUAUUUUAUUUCAAUUUCAUUGAACUCAGCUCUGAUUUUAAUAAUUUCCUUUCCUGUACUGAUUUUGGUGUUG